Molecule: non-coding RNA, 106 nt
Organism: Acanthosepion pharaonis
Lineage: Eukaryota; Metazoa; Mollusca; Cephalopoda; Sepiida; Sepiidae
Source: the annotation of a GenBank genome assembly
UUACGGCCAUAUCACAUUGAAACACCGGUUCCCGUACGAUCACCGCAGUUAAGCAACGUCGAGCCUGGUCAGUACCCAGAUGUGUAACCGCUUGAAAACACCAAGU